CCUGGAGCCUGGAGCCUGGGUCACUACCUCGCUACGAUGUUUUCCUAGAAACAUGAUUGUUUAUUGGCAUUGAUCUCACAGUCUGGUGAGGACUUCUUUACUGAUAAUGUCAAGUUCAGGUUACCCUCCCAACCAAGGAGCAUUCAGCACAGAACAAAGUCAUUAUCCUCCUCACUCUGUAAAGUAUACGUUUCCCAGCACCCACCACCAGCAGGAUCCAGCAUUUGGAGGCAAACAUGAAGCUCCAUCCUCUCCAAUUCUGGGGCAACCGUGUGGAGAUGAUCAAAAUGCUUCACCUUCAAAACUUUCAAAGGAAGAGUUAAU
This 324-nucleotide long non-coding RNA is filed under the name Homo sapiens (human). RNAcentral describes it as "non-protein coding lnc-FAM182B-13:4". The record is from RNAcentral. Lineage: Eukaryota; Metazoa; Chordata; Mammalia; Primates; Hominidae.